GGAAGUUGACGGGGCCCGCACAAGCGGUGGAGCAUGUAGUUAAUUCGAAGCAACGCGAAGAACCUUACCAGGUCUUGACAUCCCUGACAACCCGAGAGAUCGGGCGUUCCCCCUUCGGGGGACAGGGUGACAGGUGGUGCAUGGUUGUCGUCAGCUCGUGUCGUGAGAUGUUGGUUAAGUCCCGCAACGAGCGCAACCCUCGACCUUAGUUGCCAGCAUUCAGUUGGGCACUCUAAGGUGACUGCCGGCUAAAAGUCGGAGGAAGGUGGGGAUGACGUCAAAUCACCAUGCCCCUUAUGACCUGGGCUACACACGUGCUACAAUGGGCGGUACAAAGGGUCGCGAACCCGCGAGGGGGAGCCAAUCCCAAAAAGCCGCUCUCAGUUCGGAUUGCAGGCUGCAACUCGCCUGCAUGAAGCCGGAAUCGCUAGUAAUCGCGGAUCAGCAUGCCGCGGUGAAUACGUUCCCGGGCCUU
RNAcentral lists this ribosomal RNA (475 nucleotides) under uncultured Anoxybacillus sp. RNAcentral's name for it is "bacterial SSU rRNA". It matches the Rfam family "Bacterial small subunit ribosomal RNA", at positions 906 to 1382 of the family's 1533-position model. Lineage: Bacteria; Bacillati; Bacillota; Bacilli; Caryophanales; Anoxybacillaceae. The record is from RNAcentral.